UUCUGUCCAUUUCUUCCGGCCUAGACAAUUUCGUACGGCUGUAUAUCACGAGAUUCUUCUUGGAUAUCUCGAUUACGCAAAGCAACUUGGUUACACUAUGGCUCACAUUUGGGCAUGUCCACCUUCCGAAGGGGAUGAUUACAUCUUUCACUGCCAUCCUGCAGAACAGAAAA
Formica exsecta is the source of this 173-nucleotide long non-coding RNA. RefSeq lists it as uncharacterized. The record is from RefSeq and is a predicted model, not a curated record. The transcript has 2 exons. Lineage: Eukaryota; Metazoa; Arthropoda; Insecta; Hymenoptera; Formicidae.